AAUUAUUAUUAGAUUUUUAAAUAAUUAUUCACGAAAUAAAUUGAGCUAAAUUUUUGGUAUUUUUGGAAAUUAUAACUAUAUGUUACAAAAUAUAUUAACUAAAUAGAUUUAGGGGUGAAAGGCCUAUCAAAUUUUAUGAUAUCUUGAAGUAUAUAAAAUAUAUCAAGUAUUUCUAAUUCAACUAUUGAAUGUUUAGGUUCAAUAGUAACAUUAUAUUUUUUAAAAAAUUGUUCAAUUUUUUUAAGUAAAAUUGAGUUAGAGCAUAAAAUAUACAUCAAAUUUUUAUUAUAUGAAUAUAAAUAUACUACGGUUAUUAAUAAAUAUAAUCAUAUAUAAUGUAAUUAUUAGUAAUAGUUUAUUAAACUAUAUAAAGGAAUUCGGCAAGAAAAUUUUUCACCUGUUUAUCAAAAACAUAGCUUAUUGAAUAUCAUAAUAAGUAACCCCUGCUCAAUGGAAAUCUAAAUAGCCGCAGUACCUUGACUGUGCAAAGGUAGCAUAAUCAAUUGGCUUAUAAUUGAAGUCUGGAAUGAAUGGGUAAUCUGGAAAAUAACUGUCUUUAUUUGUAGUAUUUUGAAUUUACUUAUAAAGUGAAAAUACUUUAAAUAUAAAUAUAAGACGAGAAGACCCUAGAAAUUUUUUGUUAAUAACUUUUGUUGGGGCGACAGGGUAACAUAUAAACUUACUUACAUUUAUAUAAAUCUUAUAAGGUACGUAACUAAAUUACUCUAGGGAUAACAGCAUAAUAUAUAAAAGUUUAUGACCUCGAUGUUGGACUAGGUAAUUAAAUAUUUAAAAGAUAUCUUAAUUUGCUCUGUUCGAGCAGUAUCACCUACAU
RNAcentral lists this ribosomal RNA (835 nucleotides) under Perforatella incarnata. RNAcentral describes it as "Monachoides incarnatus partial large subunit ribosomal RNA". Lineage: Eukaryota; Metazoa; Mollusca; Gastropoda; Stylommatophora; Hygromiidae. The record is from RNAcentral.